Molecule: microRNA precursor, 93 nt
Filed under: Mandrillus leucophaeus (drill)
Lineage: Eukaryota; Metazoa; Chordata; Mammalia; Primates; Cercopithecidae
Description: miRNA (ENSMLEG00000012605.1)
Rfam family: mir-622 microRNA precursor family (bases 13-84)
Source: RNAcentral
AGAGGAGCUAGACAAGUACCGGUCUCAGCAGAUUGAGGAGAGCACCACAGUGGUCACCACACAGUCCGCCGAGGUUGGAGCUGCUGAGACGAC